UGGUUUAUUCUCAUUAUCAUUCACUUAUUUCAUUGCUUAUCACCUAAGACUAGUUUAUUUACCACUUUUCAAUUCUAAAAAUGUAGAGAGGGUCAUAUUAUUUACCUGCUUACUCCUACUGAGUCAAUAUAAAUGUUGGGAUCAAAAGAAUUUGUUAGAUCUCUCUGACUUCGGUGGCCAUGUGGAUUCUCAGGAAUCUUAUGGAAUGCCAGGGUGAAUGGAAUGGCCAAUCGAACUAAGGCACAAAUCCCAGUCCAAUUGAAUGGUAGUAGCUCAUGGAGGUUCCUCUUUCCACAAUACCACCAGACAUCAGCCUGGGGUACAUGAAGAGUCAAGUAGUUGCCUUUGUUUGACUCACCAGUAAUGUUUAGGAUGAAAAUAGCAACAAUUCCAUUUGUCAUUUGACUUGCUUUGCCCUAGAACAUUUGCAAAACAUCCAUCUGUCUUCUGAGCAACAACAUUCAAUUUGUUAAAAUUCAUAGUAAUAAUGGAAUGCAACCAUAUCCAGCCAAACUAAGCUUCGUAAGUGAAGGAGAAAUAAAAUACUUUACAGACAAGCAAAUACUGCUGAUGCUUUCUUAGGUAUCUGAGUGGCCACCCUGACUAGGCUUUUACAGGCUGACAGAUGGAUGUUUUAGAUAGGUAGACACAUUUUCACGUAAGGUUUAAGUGGAAAGGAAACAAGUGUCACUUUUAAUGCUGAUGAAUUCUGGUAAUGAGAUUCUUGUUGGAGGAGGAUUAUGGGCACAUCCCUUUUUGGCAGCUUUCCAUGGAGUGAAGAGGA
Molecule: long non-coding RNA, 784 nt
Filed under: Pan troglodytes (chimpanzee)
Lineage: Eukaryota; Metazoa; Chordata; Mammalia; Primates; Hominidae
Description: long non-coding RNA NONPTRT001100
Source: RNAcentral